This 253-nucleotide ribosomal RNA is filed under the name uncultured bacterium. RNAcentral's name for it is "partial 16S ribosomal RNA". It matches the Rfam family "Bacterial small subunit ribosomal RNA", at positions 524 to 776 of the family's 1533-position model. The record is from RNAcentral.
UACGGAGGGUGCAAGCGUUAAUCGGAAUUACUGGGCGUAAAGUGCACGUAGGUGGUUUUGUAAGUCGGAUGUGAAAGCCCUGGGCUUAACCUGGGAAUUGCAUUCGAUACUGCUUGACUAGAGUAUGGUAGAGGGAAGUGGAAUUUCCGGUGUAGCGGUGAAAUGCGUAGAUAUCGGCAGGAACACCAGUGGCGAAGGCGACUUCCUGGGCCAAUACUGACACUGAGGUGCGAAAGCGUGGGUAGCAAACAUG